RNAcentral lists this long non-coding RNA (1104 nucleotides) under Lactuca sativa (garden lettuce). RNAcentral's name for it is "long non-coding RNA (LSAT_LNC003312)". Lineage: Eukaryota; Viridiplantae; Streptophyta; Magnoliopsida; Asterales; Asteraceae. The record is from RNAcentral.
UAAUUUCGGGACUUGGUACCCUAUUUAAGCAUCUUAUUCUCUUUCCUAGGGCUCAGUUGCGGCCCUAUAGUCCAGAACCAGAAACCCUAAGCCUCCAUUGUUGCUCAUUCAAGUUUUCUUGCCAUUUUGGGUGGUUUGAAGGAAGAAGGAAGAAGGCUCACAUUGGGGAUUCAAGAAUUGGCAGUAGAUCCAGAGUUUGUGAGGUCUUCCAGAGCAUUUGAAGGUAAUGAGUCGUGACCUUCCCUCUUUUGCAUUUAGAUCAACCUUUAUCAUAGGAUUUGGGGCUUUUAGGGCAAGUUCUUGAACCAUUUCGAGUUAGAAGCCCAGAUCUGAAGUUGCUACUUCAGAUCUAUGUGUAUCUUGGCCUAGAGAAUCAUAAAGCAUCAGUCUAUGGGUUGAUUGUUGAGCCCCUUUGUCUCAAACCCUAAGUUUAUGGUGUAUGGUGCCUAGAUCUCCUUCUCUACACGUAAAGUUUGCAACUUUACGUGGGGAAUAGGCUUGGGAAGGGUAGAUCUACAGUUUGGAGUUCAUGCAUGACUCGGAAGUCCUCUGCAUGUAAGUGGAUCUUAAUGGACUCGGCGAGUCCUUCGAGUGGACUCGGCGAGUAGCUUGAAGAUGAGGAGGAACUCGACGAGUGGGAUGAACAGCUCGUCGAGUCGGAUGAAGUUAAGCAUGAACUCGGCGAGUUGGAAGAACAACUCGACGAGUUGGUUGAAGAUUGCCUUGGACUCGGCGAGUCUAUUAGUGGACUCGGCGAGUCAGGUCGCGAAACCUCAAACCCUUCGAGUUGAGACUCGAAUCAGUGAGUCGGGUGGUGACUCAGCGAGUUGGACAGGACAGGACUUGGAACUAGUUGGACUCGGCGAGUCAUAGAAUGACUCGGCGAGUCGAGUCGCGAAUAGAAAGACCCUGAGCUUAUGAACUCGGCGAGUCAUUAGGAGGACUCGGCGAGUAGGGUUGACCUGGAAGGUUGACUUUGACCAGAGUUGACUUAGUUGACUGUCAGACUAAGUGUUUUAUGGAUAUUGAUAGCUCGGAGAGCUAGAGGAGCAGUGGUUCAGGAGAUUGUCGAGUAGCAGCCAGAGGUUUAUCAGCAGAGCUCAG